GUGGGGAAUAUUGGACAAUGGGGGGAACCCUGAUCCAGCCAUGCCGCGUGUGUGAAGAAGGCCUUUUGGUUGUAAAGCACUUUAAGCGAGGAGGAGGCUACUCUAGUUAAUACCUAGGGAUAGUGGACGUUACUCGCAGAAUAAGCACCGGCUAACUCUGUGCCAGCAGCCGCGGUAAUACAGAGGGUGCAAGCGUUAAUCGGAUUUACUGGGCGUAAAGCGCGCGUAGGUGGCCAAUUAAGUCAAAUGUGAAAUCCCCGAGCUUAACUUGGGAAUUGCAUUCGAUACUGGUUGGCUAGAGUAUGGGAGAGGAUGGUAGAAUUCCAGGUGUAGCGGUGAAAUGCGUAGAGAUCUGGAGGAAUACCGAUGGCGAAGGCAGCCAUCUGGCCUAAUACUGACACUGAGGUGCGAAAGCAUGGGGAGCAAACAGGAUUAGAUACCCCGGUAGUCC
This 451-nucleotide ribosomal RNA is filed under the name uncultured bacterium. RNAcentral describes it as "partial 16S ribosomal RNA". It matches the Rfam family "Bacterial small subunit ribosomal RNA", at positions 354 to 796 of the family's 1533-position model. The record is from RNAcentral.